Molecule: ribosomal RNA, 460 nt
Filed under: uncultured bacterium
Lineage: Bacteria
Description: partial 16S ribosomal RNA
Rfam family: Bacterial small subunit ribosomal RNA
Source: RNAcentral
CUACGGGCUGCUGCAGUAAGGAAUAUUGCGCAAUGGAGGCAACUCUGACGCAGCCAUGCCGCGUGCAGGACUGAAGGCCUUAUGGGUCGUAAACUGCUUUUAUUUAGGAAUAAACUUUCGUACGUGUACGAGACUGAAGGUACUAAAUGAAUAAGCACCGGCUAACUCCGUGCCAGCAGCUGCGGUAAUACGGAGGGUGCAAGCGUUAUCCGGAUUUAUUGGGUUUAAAGGGUGCGCAGGCGGACUAUUAAGUCAGAGGUGAAAUCCCGGAGCUCAACUUCGGAACUGCCUUUGAUACUGGUAGUCUUGAAUACGGUAGAAGUAGGCGGAAUGUAGCAUGUAGCGGUGAAAUGCAUAGAGAUGCUACAGAACACCGAUCGCGAAGGCAGCUUACUAAGCCGAUAUUGACGCUCAGGCACGAAAGCGUGGGGAGCGAACAGGAUUAGAUACCCGCGUAGUC